CACACUAUCAUUAACUGAAUCCAUAGGUUAAUGAGGCGAACCGGGGGAACUGAAACAUCUAAGUACCCCGAGGAAAAGAAAUCAACCGAGAUUCCCCCAGUAGCGGCGAGCGAACGGGGAGCAGCCCAGAGCCUGAAUCAGUAUGUGUGUUAGUGGAAGCGUCUGGAAAGGCGCGCGAUACAGGGUGACAGCCCCGUACACAAAAAUGCACAUGCUGUGAGCUCGAUGAGUAGGGCGGGACACGUGGUAUCCUGUCUGAAUAUGGGGGGACCAUCCUCCAAGGCUAAAUACUCCUGACUGACCGAUAGUGAACCAGUACCGUGAGGGAAAGGCGAAAAGAACCCCGGCGAGGGGAGUGAAAAAGAACCUGAAACCGUGUACGUACAAGCAGUGGGAGCACGCUUAGGCGUGUGACUGCGUACCUUUUGUAUAAUGGGUCAGCGACUUAUAUUCUGUAGCAAGGUUAACCGAAUAGGGGAGCCGAAGGGAAACCGAGUCUUAACUGGGCGUUAAGUUGCAGGGUAUAGACCCGAAACCCGGUGAUCUAGCCAUGGGCAGGUUGAAGGUUGGGUAACACUAACUGGAGGACCGAACCGACUAAUGUUGAAAAAUUAGCGGAUGACUUGUGGCUGGGGGUGAAAGGCCAAUCAAACCGGGAGAUAGCUGGUUCUCCCCGAAAGCUAUUUAGGUAGCGCCUCGUGAAUUCAUCUCCGGGGGUAGAGCACUGUUUCGGCAAGGGGGUCAUCCCGACUUACCAACCCGAUGCAAACUGCGAAUACCGGAGAAUGUUAUCACGGGAGACACACGGCGGGUGCUAACGUCCGUCGUGAAGAGGGAAACAACCCAGACCGCCAGCUAAGGUCCCAAAGUCAUGGUUAAGUGGGAAACGAUGUGGGAAGGCCCAGACAGCCAGGAUGUUGGCUUAGAAGCAGCCAUCAUUUAAAGAAAGCGUAAUAGCUCACUGGUCGAGUCGGCCUGCGCGGAAGAUGUAACGGGGCUAAACCAUGCACCGAAGCUGCGGCAGCGACGCUGAUGCGUUGUUGGGUAGGGGAGCGUUCUGUAAGCCUGUGAAGGUGUGCUGUGAGGCAUGCUGGAGGUAUCAGAAGUGCGAAUGCUGACAUAAGUAACGAUAAAGCGGGUGAAAAGCCCGCUCGCCGGAAGACCAAGGGUUCCUGUCCAACGUUAAUCGGGGCAGGGUGAGUCGACCCCUAAGGCGAGGCCGAAAGGCGUAGUCGAUGGGAAACAGGUUAAUAUUCCUGUACUUGGUGUUACUGCGAAGGGGGGACGGAGAAGGCUAUGUUGGCCGGGCGACGGUUGUCCCGGUUUAAGCGUGUAGGCUGGUUUUCCAGGCAAAUCCGGAAAAUCAAGGCUGAGGCGUGAUGACGAGGCACUACGGUGCUGAAGCAACAAAUGCCCUGCUUCCAGGAAAAGCCUCUAAGCAUCAGGUAACAUCAAAUCGUACCCCAAACCGACACAGGUGGUCAGGUAGAGAAUACCAAGGCGCUUGAGAGAACUCGGGU
This 1520-nucleotide ribosomal RNA is filed under the name Escherichia coli. RNAcentral's name for it is "partial 23S ribosomal RNA". It matches the Rfam family "Bacterial large subunit ribosomal RNA", at positions 144 to 1705 of the family's 2925-position model. The record is from RNAcentral. Lineage: Bacteria; Pseudomonadati; Pseudomonadota; Gammaproteobacteria; Enterobacterales; Enterobacteriaceae.